CCGGUAGUCCACGCUGUAAACGAUGGAUGCUAGCAGUGUGCCGUAUCGACCCCGGUGCGUUGCGAAGCUAACGCAUUAAGCAUCCCGCCUGAGUAGUACGAUCGCAAGAUUAAAACUCAAAGGAAUUGACGGGGACCCGCACAAGCGGUGGAGCGUGUUGUUUAAUCGGAUGGUAAGCCUAGAACCUUACCAGGGUUUGACAUCCUUGGAAUUUCGCCGAAAGGUGAGAGUGCUUUAUUGAGCCAAGUGACAGGUGAUGCAUGGCCGUCGUCAGCUCGUGUCGUGAGAUGUUUGGUUAAGUCCAUCAACGAGCGGCAACCCUUAUGGUUAGUUGGAUUUUUCUAGCCAGACUGCCUCGGUAACGGGGAGGAAGGAGGGGAUGAUGUCAGGUCGUUAUUUCCCUUACACCCUGGGCUACAAACGCGCUACAAUGGCCGGUACAAUGGGCAGCCAAGCUGUGAAGCGGAGCAAAUCCCAUCAAAGCCGGUCCCAGUUCGGAUAAGAGGCUGAAACUCGCCUCUUUGAAGUCGGAAUCGCUAGUAAUCGCAGGUCAAGCACACUGCGGUGAAUACGUUCCCGGGUCUUGUACACACCGCCCGUCAAGCCAUGAAAGUCACCAACACCCGAAGUCUGAAUUUAUUUCGGCCUAAGGUGGGGGGGAUAAUUGGGGUU
Molecule: ribosomal RNA, 672 nt
Filed under: uncultured Candidatus Saccharibacteria bacterium
Lineage: Bacteria; Candidatus Saccharimonadota
Description: bacterial SSU rRNA
Rfam family: Bacterial small subunit ribosomal RNA
Source: RNAcentral